GUUAUUUUUCACAGUUCUGAGGUGGGGUAUCCCGUGGUCAAGAAGUGGGUUCCGUCUCAGGGGAGGGUCACUUCCUGGUUUUCAGAGGGCCGCCUUCUUGCUAUGUCCUCUGUGCUAGUCAGCUCUUCACAGCUGUGACCAAAUCUUUGAGAGAAACAGCUUAAAGGAAGAAAGGUUUGUUUUGGCUCCCAGCUCAGAGGUUUCAGUCCAGGACCAGCCAGCUCCAUUGCUUUCAGGCCUGUGGUGAGGCAGAAACAUCAUGGCGGAAGGAAAUGUUGGAAAGCCGAGAAGAAGACAGAGAAGGAGCCAGAGACAGAGAGAAGAAGGGGCCCGGACAAGAUACACCCUUCAAAGUGUGUCAUUAUUCACAAAAGAGAACCCAGAGAGCUCCCUGCAAAGCUGACAUGAGGUGAGCAACCAUUUCUCUGGUGAAGCCUGCUGACCAUGCAUGGACUGAGACCUCUAAGCCUGAGCCAACAUAAACCUCUCCUUUAAAUUGUGGGUAUUGUGUCUCAGUGAUGAGGAAAGUGACUAAAUGGGGCUUAUGGUUUAAACAUAUGGAUUUAGAAAAUCCAAACAUUCAUUCCGUAUCAGUCCACUCUUGCUCCCAUUUAAGUCCUUUUUGCAUGGAAAGUGCAUAUUCAUUUCACCCUAUGCCUCUCCACAGUCAUAACUCAUUCCGGCAUCAGCUCUAAGCACUGAAGAUCAUCUAAAUCAGAUAUGAAUGACACAUAAGGCAGGAUUUGUCUGAAGACAGAACUCCUCUCUCUCCAUUUGUGAAACUAUGGAACCAAACAAGUUAUGUGCUUUCCAAAUCCGGUGGUGGGACAGACAGACAGAAGGGAAGAUAGGAAGGAGAAAAGAGGGUCCAGUGCUAUCAGGCAAGUCUCACAAGACCUUAGGGCUGGAGAAUGACCCUCACUUUACCUCCAGACCCCAGGGCCUUUGGUCCUGGCCCCAGAGCUCUGCCAAGCAGGAGAACAGCCCAUGGCUUGGGGCAAAGUUUGCCUGCCUAUUGAAAGUGAGUCGUUGGCCUCCCUGCAAGGAGGCUGCCCUGAUGACCUCUGAGUCUCCUUCAAGGUCAGUUUCUGCUUGUGUG
This 1099-nucleotide long non-coding RNA is filed under the name Heterocephalus glaber (naked mole-rat). RNAcentral's name for it is "lncRNA (ENSHGLG00100048293.1)". The record is from RNAcentral. Lineage: Eukaryota; Metazoa; Chordata; Mammalia; Rodentia; Bathyergidae.